Molecule: ribosomal RNA, 253 nt
Filed under: uncultured microorganism
Description: partial 16S ribosomal RNA
Rfam family: Bacterial small subunit ribosomal RNA
Source: RNAcentral
UACGGAGGGUGCAAGCGUUGUUCGGAAUUAUUGGGCGUAAAGGGCGCGUAGGUGGUUAUGCAAGUCAGAUGUGAAAUACUUCAGCUCAACUGAAGAACUGCAUCUGAAACUGCAUAACUAGAGUACAGGAGAGGGAAACGGAAUUCCCGGUGUAGAGGUGAAAUUCGUAGAUAUCGGGAGGAACACCUGUGGCGAAGGCGGCCUUCUGGACUGACACUGACACUGAGGUGCGAAAGCGUGGGUAGCAAACAGG